GUGCCGGAUUCGGCAGCACAUAUACUAAAAUUGGAAUGAUACAGGGAAGAUUAGCAUGGCCCCUGCAGAGAAUGACAUGCAAAUUCAUGCAGCAUUAAAAGAAAAA
Prolemur simus (greater bamboo lemur) is the source of this 106-nucleotide small nuclear RNA. NCBI's taxonomy places the organism in Eukaryota, Metazoa, Chordata, Mammalia, Primates, Lemuridae. The record is from Ensembl.